This 268-nucleotide ribosomal RNA is filed under the name uncultured bacterium. RNAcentral's name for it is "partial 16S ribosomal RNA". It matches the Rfam family "Bacterial small subunit ribosomal RNA", at positions 793 to 1055 of the family's 1533-position model. The record is from RNAcentral.
GUCCACGCCCUAAACGAUGAUGACUAGUUGUUGGAGGAGUUAAAUCCUUUAGUAACGCAGCUAACGCGAGAAGUCAUCCGCCUGGGGAGUACGGUCGCAAAGAUUAAAACUCAAAGGAAUUGACGGGGGCCCGCACAAGCGGUGGAUGAUGUGGUUUAAUUCGACGCAACGCGAAAAACCUUACCUAACCCUUGACAUGUACGGAACCUCAUAGAGAUGUGAGGGUGCCCGAAAGAGAGCCGUAACACAGGUGCUGCAUGGCUGUCGU